This is a non-coding RNA of Peromyscus maniculatus bairdii (prairie deer mouse), 97 nucleotides long. NCBI's taxonomy places the organism in Eukaryota, Metazoa, Chordata, Mammalia, Rodentia, Cricetidae. The record is from RefSeq and is a predicted model, not a curated record.
AGCCAACCUCUCUGUGCCUGUGGCUGAGCUGUGGAACUCCUUUCUGUGCCCCGUGGCUGAGCUGUGGAACUCUUCUCUGUGCCGCAUGGCUGUGCUG